Molecule: ribosomal RNA, 464 nt
Filed under: uncultured bacterium
Lineage: Bacteria
Description: partial 16S ribosomal RNA
Rfam family: Bacterial small subunit ribosomal RNA
Source: RNAcentral
CCUACUGGAGGCAGCAGUAGGGAAUUUUCGGCAAUGGGGGGAACCCUGACCGAGCAACGCCGCGUGAAGGAAGAAGGAAUUCGUUCUGUAAACUUCUGUUAUAAAGGAAGAAAGACGGAUGGAGGAAAUGACAUCCGAGUGACGGUACUUUAUGAGAAAGCCACGGCUUACUACGUGCCAGCAGCCGCGGUAAUACUUAGGUGGCAAGCUUUAUCCGGAAUUAUUGGGCGUAAAGAGGGAGCAGGAGGCAGCAAAGGUCUGUGGUGAAAGACUGAAACUUAACUUCAGUAAGGCAUAGAAAUAGGGGAGCGAGCGGGGAGGAGAGGAUCGUGGAAUUUCAUGGGGAGGGGUGGAAUUCGUAGAAAAAUGGAGGAACACCAGGGGCGAAGGCGACGAUUUGGCCUGCAACUGAAGCUUAGUCCCGAAAGCGUGGGGAGCAAAUAGGAUUAGAUACCCGAGUAGUC